AGUUCUCACCCUAUUAGCUCCCAUGACAGCUGUUUGUUAAAAAGAUCCUGGCACCUCCCCCACCCUCUUGCUUCUUCUUUCGCCAUGUGAUCUCUGCGGUCUCUGCACAUAAUGGUUCCCCUUCUCCUUCUGCUAUGAGUGGAAGCAGCCAGAAGCUUUCAUCAGAAGCAGACGCUGGUGCCAUACCUGCAGAACUGUCAGCCAAAUACUGUCAUGUCUGAAUGGUAGUCCUGAGAUUGCGGCAGCCCUCACAUGAUGAGCCAGAGGAGGAAGCCUCAUGUGAAAGAAAGCAGGACCCACAGCCAUAGUUGCACAGAUCUAUUCAAGCCACGCUGAUCACUGCGCUAACCUCUGGAUUUGUUUGGUUACAGCAGUGAGUUUUCAGUUACUUGCAGCCUAACACAUAUGUUGCUUGAGGUUUAGCUUUUCUGGAUCGCCCUUUUUCUUAGCCCUCCACUCCCAGCCCAAGGUGGCAAUAGAGAAGGUCAGCCUACCUCCCAUCACUCCCUUGCCUUCCGCUCCUCACUCUGAGUGGGCUCUUUCCCUCACUCAAUUCUUUUUUGGCCUCCUAUCCUGGUGACCUGUAAUGAAGAGGAGUCCUCAUAAUUAAUCAUUUGGACCAACCAUGACUUUAGCUCUGAGGUUUGUGUAGAGCCCAGCCCUUCCAUGGGGAACCUAGUGUGGAUGCCCUAGCCUUUCCCAGAAAAUCACCCUUUGAGCACUUCUCAGUUUGCUUGACAAGUUCAAAGUCAUGAGCAUUUUUGAGGUAGAGUGGAGAGGACUCCACCAGACUAUUUCCCCCUAGGAUGCUGAGAGAGUGAGAAAGAGGGUUGGUGCAUACUCAACUGAAAGGAGAUGUAAAGGACAACCGUGUGCUCUUCCAGAUCCAUUGACCCAUGCUCUGCUCUUUUUCACCCUGGCCUGUGCCCUGUGAGACUGAGCUCUGCAGACUACACCACCCAAGCUCUCUUGCCUUCUGGCUUCUAGAUUGGUAGGGCCAAUAGGAGGCAGCAGCAGGAGAUUAGAAGGAGAGACUGUCAGGUAGGGAUAUUAUUCCCUCAACACUGGGAGGAUUGGCAUCCCUUUAGGACCACAGCUCCUGCCGAGUGCCCUUCAUCCACAGCUGUGUCUCUCCCCAGAAUCUGGGAUCUUUGUCUCUCUUUACUCCUUUAGGCUAGGGGUAGUAAUGGCUCCCUGGUAUUUCUAGUCCCAGGGUGUUUCAUCAGCUCUUAGGCAUUCCCCACUGACCUCUGUGUAUGCCUCUGUCAAUAGAACAAUUAAACUCCUUCACUUGAAACCUUUAAAUGUGCAUCUGCUUCCUGCCAGAACCCUG
This 1333-nucleotide long non-coding RNA is filed under the name Homo sapiens (human). RNAcentral describes it as "HSALNT0330840". Lineage: Eukaryota; Metazoa; Chordata; Mammalia; Primates; Hominidae. The record is from RNAcentral.